RNAcentral lists this ribosomal RNA (486 nucleotides) under uncultured bacterium. RNAcentral's name for it is "bacterial SSU rRNA". It matches the Rfam family "Bacterial small subunit ribosomal RNA", at positions 22 to 518 of the family's 1533-position model. The record is from RNAcentral.
CGUCAGAACGAACGCUGGUGGCGUGUCUUAUACAUGCAAGUCGAGCGAGGCAGCAAUGCCGAGCGGCGAACGGGUGAGUAACGCGUAAGCAAUCUGCCCCAUAUCAGGAAAUACCCGUGCCAACGCGCGGUUAAUGUCCAGGAGAGUGGCUCCUCUGCAUGGAGGGUUGACUAGAGAUUUAUCGGUAUGGGAUGAGCUUGCGUCCGAUUAGCUAGUUGGCGGGGCAACGGCCCACCAAGGCGACGAUCGGUAGCCGGCCUGAGAGGGUGAUCGGCCACAUUGGGACUGAGAUACGGCCCAGACUCCUACGGGAGGCAGCAGUAGGGAAUAUUGCACAAUGGGGGAAACCCUGAUGCAGCAACGCCACGUGUGGGAAGAAAGCAUUUCGGUGUGUAAACCACUGUCAUGAGGGAAUAAGGCCUGUCUUCGGGCAGGAUUGAAUGUACCUUGAGAGGAAGCACCGGCAAACUUCGUGCCAGCCGCAGC